This 65-nucleotide transfer RNA is filed under the name Xystodesmus sp. YD-2016. RNAcentral describes it as "tRNA-Cys". Lineage: Eukaryota; Metazoa; Arthropoda; Diplopoda; Polydesmida; Xystodesmidae. The record is from RNAcentral.
GAUUAGAUAUUUUAAAAAGAAUAUUAGAUUGCAAGUCUUUAGGUGGGAUAUGUUUCCUCUGGUCU